GGUGACUUAGCGAAGUGGUUAACGCGCGAGAUUGCUAAUCUCGUGUCCUAUGGACGCGCAGGUUCGAAUCCUGCAGUCAUCG
Molecule: non-coding RNA, 82 nt
Organism: Tribonema minus
Lineage: Eukaryota; Xanthophyceae; Tribonematales; Tribonemataceae
Source: the annotation of a GenBank genome assembly